RNAcentral lists this long non-coding RNA (764 nucleotides) under Homo sapiens (human). RNAcentral describes it as "HSALNT0342600". Lineage: Eukaryota; Metazoa; Chordata; Mammalia; Primates; Hominidae. The record is from RNAcentral.
AGGAAUUAUGACUCAUCAGAAUCCUGGAGAACCUGUGCCUGCAUGGAGUGAACUUAAUAUAGUGCACAACACGGGCCAAUGAACACAGAAUUCUGGUGGACCUACUAUGCCUGGGAUUUCAGUGAGACUCAAAGUGAGUGCAAGUCACCAUCAUAAAGAUUCAAUAUUCAAGACCACGAAGAAGAACCCAGACCAGGGAUUGCUUCAUUUGGAUUCCACCUACCGCAGUUGUUACAUCUAAGUAGGGACAACGAAAAUCUCCUGCUAUGGUCUUGAUCCUAGUCAGUAAAAGAGCAAAUUCCAAGCCUCCUAAGGGGCAUUUUCAUCCUUCCCCAUCUGUCCUUACAGAUAAGGAAGAGAUUCCAGGAAUGACUCGGUUCCUGGAACCUAGAAUUAGUCCCCCUUGUUUUCUUUAUCUAUCCAAAUCCUGUCUUAGGGAUCAACUUUCACAAGCUUUCUCUCCUUAAAGACUUUCACCUCGAAUUACCUUUUUUUUUUGUCAUAUUCCUAUUCCUAUCUGGAGUCACACUCUUGAGAACCUUCUAUACUUUCGUCAUGCAUUUAUUAGCAGAUAUCUAUAAAGUUCCUACAGUGUGUCAGGCACUGUGCUAGGCGCUAGUGCAACAAUGAUGAAUGCUAUACACAUCCACCUCACCCUUUUAUAGUUUAUAGUAUCAUGGGGAGAUGGAGAAGUAGAUGCUCAAUAAACACAUUUUGUCUGAUGGGUAUACCUUGAAACAGCAAAAGUAAAGUCUGUUUCAUCA